GGUUGGCAAAGAGCUGCUACUAAAGGCCUUGAAGAACAUUUUAAGUACAGGGAUAGCAUGCUGCUUUGAUUACUUCCAUCUGAAAUAGCAGCAGGUGAGCUCCUGUCUUAAUCACGGCUGAAACCCCAGAGUCCAGAACGGUGUCUGGCACUCAAUAAAUAUAUUUGUUGGGGCUUCCCUGGUGGCGCAGUGGUUAAGAAUCCCCCUGCCAAUGCAGGGGACACGGGUUCAAGCCCUGGUCCGGGAAGUUCCCACAUGCUGCGGAGCAACUGAACCCGUACACCACAACUACUGAGCCUGCGCUCUAGAGCCUGCAAGCCACAACUACUGAGCCGUGUGCUGCAACUACUGAAGCCCACGUGCCUAGAGCCCAUGCUCUGCAACGAGAAGCUACCGCAAUGAGAAGCCCAUGCACUGCAACGAAGAGUAGCCCCUGCUCACCACAACUAGAGAAAGCCCCGCACGCAGCAACAAGGACCCAAUGCAGCCAU
This is a long non-coding RNA of Physeter macrocephalus (sperm whale), 491 nucleotides long. RefSeq lists it as uncharacterized. The transcript has 3 exons. NCBI's taxonomy places the organism in Eukaryota, Metazoa, Chordata, Mammalia, Artiodactyla, Physeteridae. The record is from RefSeq and is a predicted model, not a curated record.